UAAUGAUAUAGACAAAGUCUGGGAAAAUGCAUACA
This 35-nucleotide small RNA is filed under the name Chaetoceros cf. neogracilis. Its description in RNAcentral is "partial Mitochondrion-encoded tmRNA". The record is from RNAcentral. Lineage: Eukaryota; Bacillariophyta; Thalassiosirophyceae; Chaetocerotales; Chaetocerotaceae.